UGUCAUAAUAGAACUUGUCUCCACCCACAUUACUCCAGCAAUUAAUUUUACACCUAAGCAACUUGGCAAAAAACAUCUUGUUUCCAGCCCUGGUGAGACUCAUCUCCAGCUGAGACUUUGCUUCCAGGUCACAGGUCUGGGAGAAAGGAAACCAUUCUCACCACUUUCUAGGUGUUCAAAUAGCUGAAAUCCUCAUUUAUUUGUCUACUCUGAAAAUAUUUAAAUCAAUCUGAUGUGUCACCUGGAGUAAAGUCAGAAAUCUCAAAUCAUGAUAUGUGGCAAAGCACCUCCAACACUGCUGGGAGCACCCGUUCUCACAUGACAAAUCUGCAUAAGAGGCUUUGAAGGAGAACAAACAUAUCUAAAUCAGGGAAAUCACAGCUCCUGACCUCAAAAAGGUGCACACCUCCAUAAACUCAAUAAUCCCUACCAGUAUCCUCUGCUCUCUGGGCCUCCUGGAAAAACCUAUGGGCUCCAAGGUUAAUUUCUCACUCAAGUCCAAGGGUAGAGCAAGCUCCAAGCAAGAGAAGAAACUUUGUAUUAAA
Molecule: long non-coding RNA, 545 nt
Organism: Vidua chalybeata
Lineage: Eukaryota; Metazoa; Chordata; Aves; Passeriformes; Viduidae
Exons: 3
Source: RefSeq, a predicted model, not a curated record